CGGGAUCGCAAGAAGGAAUGAAGUUGUUAUUGUAAAGGUUUUGUUAAACCCAAUGGUGAUGAAUGUAACGGGAAGAACAAAGUAAUGUACCUUUUGAGUAAAACUGUUUCUUCAAGAUGUAAGGGUAAACCGAAUUUCAGUAUCUCUUAAUCAUGUUGAUUUCAUUUAUUACUAGUAAUUAGUAGUAAUUAAACAAGGCAUUUAUCAUAUUAUCUAAUGCUUGACUCAGCCACUUCUAAACUUCUUUUGCAACAUUUACCAAAUAUUAGUAGCUCUUGAUAAUAGGCAUGGUCCAUGUAAAUCAGAAAGAAGUAUUGACAGGCUAGUUUUUGUAGAAGUUUAUGCAGAGUGUGGGAUCACAUUCACCUACGUAAUUGUGCUAGAGUAUGAAGGGACCAGGACACCAGAGACGUGUGUGUUUGUGUGUGUGUAUGGCAGGUGUUGAUGGCUGUUAGCACGCCAGUUUGAAUCGCAAGCAUACGGAUCAGUUGUAGCUUUUCCCUUAGAGUAUUUCUCAAGGUUUAUCAAUCCGUGGAAACAAGGUCACAUGAUCUAGACUAAGCAUCAGGAAACAUGAUUCUAGUUGCAAGAUGAUUGUGUAUAAGGAUGAAUAUAGACAUGGAUAGAUAAGAAGCAUCAGCGGAUAUAAACAAGAGAUUACUCAUCUAGAGCAAAGCCUAGACUAUGCAUAUGUUGUAGUUCUAGCUAUAUGGCAAUCAAACACAUGGACCUCAUUCAAAGCAUCUUUUAACCACCACCUCCGGUCUAACUCCAGAAAACCCCCACCUUACACAGUAUUAGAUCCUGUCACGAUCCUACCUAUCAGCGCAAGCAGUCUAAGGGUAUAAACAUAAAGCACAUGUCUAGUUGUUAUGAUAUAUCAAGCAUGAAAAUCUAGUCACCAUGAUUACAAGAACAACCUAGGUAAUCUAGUACGUAAAUAGAUUAGAAUAAGCAAACUCAUAACAGUAGAAAUAAUAAAAGAAGGCAUAUGGAUCGCUAUUAAAUCGGAACUCAUCUACUACUUCACCAUAGAUGAUUGUUCAUCACAAGAUCUCCACCGAGGCCAUACUCGCAACUUAUAAAUCCUAGCUCCAAAACUCUAGCGUGGAUCUUCAUCGCAUGGUGAUCACACCGGCCAAAACCUAGCCUAAGCUAGACUCCGGACAAUUGCACGGCCCUCAGCUCUCUGUAGAUGGUUGUCGCUAAAGUUCCUUGACUUCUUCCGCUUCGAAUCUAAACUCCAAUCCCCG
RNAcentral lists this long non-coding RNA (1253 nucleotides) under Setaria viridis. RNAcentral's name for it is "long non-coding RNA (SVIR_LNC007132)". Lineage: Eukaryota; Viridiplantae; Streptophyta; Magnoliopsida; Poales; Poaceae. The record is from RNAcentral.